Molecule: non-coding RNA, 22 nt
Filed under: Arabidopsis thaliana (thale cress)
Lineage: Eukaryota; Viridiplantae; Streptophyta; Magnoliopsida; Brassicales; Brassicaceae
Source: RNAcentral
UGGCGAGGAUGAAUAAUGCUAA